This 254-nucleotide ribosomal RNA is filed under the name uncultured bacterium. RNAcentral describes it as "partial 16S ribosomal RNA". It matches the Rfam family "Bacterial small subunit ribosomal RNA", at positions 524 to 776 of the family's 1533-position model. The record is from RNAcentral.
UACGUAGGGGGCGAGCGUUGUCCGAAGUUACUGGGCGUAAAGCGCGCGUAGGCGGUCGAUUAAGUCUGAGGUGAAAGGUUCAACGCUCAACGUGAACAGUGCCUUGGAUACUGGUCGACUUGAGUGUGGCAGAGGAGUAUGGAAUUCCUGGUGUAGCGGUGAAAUGCGUAGAUAUCAGGAGGAAUACCGAUGGCGAAGGCAGUACUCUGGGCUAACACUGACGCUGAGGUGCGAAAGCGUGGGGAGCAAACGGG